UAUAAUGCAGUCGAGCGGACAGAUGGGAGCUUGCUCCCUGAUGUUAGCGGCGGACGGGUGAGUAACACGUGGGUAACCUGCCUGUAAGACUGGGAUAACUCCGGGAAACCGGGGCUAAUACCGGAUGGUUGUUUGAACCGCAUGGUUCAAACAUAAAAGGUGGCUUCGGCUACCACUUACAGAUGGACCCGCGGCGCAUUAGCUAGUUGGUGAGGUAACGGCUCACCAAGGCAACGAUGCGUAGCCGACCUGAGAGGGUGAUCGGCCACACUGGGACUGAGACACGGCCCAGACUCCUACGGGAGGCAGCAGUAGGGAAUCUUCCGCAAUGGACGAAAGUCUGACGGAGCAACGCCGCGUGAGUGAUGAAGGU
This 373-nucleotide ribosomal RNA is filed under the name Bacillus subtilis. Its description in RNAcentral is "bacterial SSU rRNA". It matches the Rfam family "Bacterial small subunit ribosomal RNA", at positions 52 to 415 of the family's 1533-position model. The record is from RNAcentral. Lineage: Bacteria; Bacillati; Bacillota; Bacilli; Caryophanales; Bacillaceae.